RNAcentral lists this ribosomal RNA (346 nucleotides) under uncultured bacterium. RNAcentral describes it as "partial 16S ribosomal RNA". It matches the Rfam family "Bacterial small subunit ribosomal RNA", at positions 338 to 682 of the family's 1533-position model. The record is from RNAcentral.
CCUACGGGAGGCAGCAGUGAGGAAUAUUGGUCAAUGGGCGGAAGCCUGAACCAGCCAAGUAGCGUGCGGGAUGAAGGCCCUACGGGUCGUAAACCGCUUUUGCACGGGGAUAACACACGGCACGUGGGGAGGUCUGCAGGUACCGUGCGAAAAAGGGCCGGCUAAUUCCGUGCCAGCAGCCGCGGUAAGACGGACGGACCGAGCGUUAUCCGGUUUGAUUGGGCUUAAAGGGAGCGGAGGCGGGCGGUCAAGUCAGCGGGACAAUCGCGCGGCUCACCCGCGCCCCGCCGUUGAAACUGGGCUCCUUGUGUUCACCACAGGCAGGCGGACUUCGUGGUGUAGCGGU